RNAcentral lists this transfer RNA (77 nucleotides) under Thermoproteota archaeon. Its description in RNAcentral is "tRNA-Pro". It matches the Rfam family "tRNA". Rfam says of the family: Transfer RNA (tRNA) molecules are approximately 80 nucleotides in length. Their secondary structure includes four short double-helical elements and three loops (D, anti-codon, and T loops). Lineage: Archaea; Thermoproteati; Thermoproteota. The record is from RNAcentral. RNAcentral also lists the same sequence under 1 other name.
GGGGCCGUGGUCUAGCUUGGUAGGAUGCCGGCCUUGGGAGCCGGUGGUCGUGGGUUCGAAUCCCACCGGCCCCACCA